Molecule: long non-coding RNA, 176 nt
Organism: Ooceraea biroi (clonal raider ant)
Lineage: Eukaryota; Metazoa; Arthropoda; Insecta; Hymenoptera; Formicidae
Source: RefSeq, a predicted model, not a curated record
AUUACGGUGCCAGAAACGGACUUGUAAUAUUGCAGACAUCCAUUGGGAGCUAAACCGAAGGCAAAAAACGAAUUCGCAAGUUUUCUUCACCGUCGAUCGAACGCAUAAUCCGCGUUAGUAUCGACGGAUAUUGUGAUCGGCGUUGCACCAUUGAAGUCGACGUACACUGAAAAAAA